This 370-nucleotide ribosomal RNA is filed under the name uncultured bacterium. RNAcentral's name for it is "bacterial SSU rRNA". It matches the Rfam family "Bacterial small subunit ribosomal RNA", at positions 917 to 1291 of the family's 1533-position model. The record is from RNAcentral.
GGGCCCGCACAAGCGGUGGAGUAUGUGGUUUAAUUCGAUGCAACGCGAAGAACCUUACCAGGGUUUGACAUCCUGCGAAUCUCUUGGAAACGAGAGAGUGCCUUCGGGAGCGCAGUGACAGGUGGUGCAUGGCUGUCGUCAGCUCGUGUCGUGAGAUGUUGGGUUAAGUCCCGCAACGAGCGCAACCCACGUCUUUAGUUGCCAGCAUUUAGUUGGGCACUCUAGAGAGACUGCCGGUGAUAAGCCGAGGAAGGUGAGGAUGACGUCAAGUCAGCAUGCCCCUUACAUCUGGGCUACACACGUACUACAAUGCUACGGACAAAGGGCAGCAAGUUCGCGAGGACAAGCAAAUCCCAUAAACGUGGCUCAG